RNAcentral lists this ribosomal RNA (491 nucleotides) under uncultured bacterium. RNAcentral describes it as "partial 16S ribosomal RNA". It matches the Rfam family "Bacterial small subunit ribosomal RNA", at positions 29 to 506 of the family's 1533-position model. The record is from RNAcentral.
AGUGAACGCUGGCGGUAGGCCUAACACAUGCAAGUCGAACGGCAGCACAGUAAGAGCUUGCUCUUACGGGUGGCGAGUGGCGGACGGGUGAGGAAUACAUCGGAAUCUACUUUUUCGUGGGGGAUAACGUAGGGAAACUUACGCUAAUACCGCAUACGACCUACGGGUGAAAGCAGGGGAUCUUCGGACCUUGCGCGAUUGAAUGAGCCGAUGUCGGAUUAGCUAGUUGGCGGGGUAAAGGCCCACCAAGGCGACGAUCCGUAGCUGGUCUGAGAGGAUGAUCAGCCACACUGGAGCUGAGACACGGUCCAGACUCCUACGGGAGGCAGCAGUGGGUAAUAUUGGACAAUGGGCGCAAGCCUGAUCCAGCCAUACCGCGUGGGUGAAGAAGGCCUUCGGGUUGUAAAGCCCUUUUGUUGGGAAAGAAAAGCAGCAGGUUAAUACCCCGCUGUUCUGACGGUACCCAAAGAAUAAGCACCGGCUAACUUCGU